This 484-nucleotide ribosomal RNA is filed under the name uncultured bacterium. Its description in RNAcentral is "partial 16S ribosomal RNA". It matches the Rfam family "Bacterial small subunit ribosomal RNA", at positions 30 to 507 of the family's 1533-position model. The record is from RNAcentral.
AUUGAACGCUGGCGGCAGGCCUAACACAUGCAAGUCGAGCGGAUGAAGGGAGCUUGCUCCUGGAUUCAGCGGCGGACGGGUGAGUAAUGCCUAGGAAUCUGCCUGGUAGUGGGGGAUAACGUCCGGAAACGGGCGCUAAUACCGCAUACGUCCUGAGGGAGAAAGUGUGGGAUCUUCGGACCUCACGCUAUCAGAUGAGCCUAGGUCGGAUUAGCUAGUUGGUGGGGUAAAGGCCUACCAAGGCGACGAUCCGUAACUGGUCUGAGAGGAUGAUCAGUCACACUGGAACUGAGACACGGUCCAGACUCCUACGGGAGGCAGCAGUGGGGAAGAUUGGACAAUGGGCGAAAGCCUGAUCCAGCCAUGCCGCGUGUGUGAAGAAGGUCUUCGGAUUGUAAAGCACUUUAAGUUGGGAGGAAGGGAAGUAAGUUAAUACCUUGCUGUUUUGACGGUACCAACAGAAUAAGCACCGGCUAAAUUCGUG